Molecule: ribosomal RNA, 253 nt
Filed under: uncultured bacterium
Lineage: Bacteria
Description: partial 16S ribosomal RNA
Rfam family: Bacterial small subunit ribosomal RNA
Source: RNAcentral
UACGUAGGGUGCGAGCGUUGUCCGGAAUUAUUGGGCGUAAAGGGCUCGUAGGCGGUCUGUCGCGUCGGGAGUGAAAACCUCGGGCUUAACUCGGGGCUUGCUUUCGAUACGGGCAGACUAGAGGUAUGCAGGGGAGAACGGAAUUCCUGGUGUAGCGGUGAAAUGCGCAGAUAUCAAGAGGAACACCGGCGGCGAAGGCGGGUUGCUGGGCCGACACUGACGCUGAGGCGCGAAAGCGUGGGGAGCAAACAGG